AGCGUGGUUCGGAAUCACUGGGCGUAAAGGGCGUGUAGGCGGUCGAGUAAGUGGAAUGUGAAAUACUCCGGCUCACCCGGAGCACUGCAUCCCAAACUGCUCGGCUUGAGUAUGGGAGAGGACGAGGGAAUUCCUGGUGUAGCGGUGAAAUGCGUAGAUAUCUGGAGGAACACCGGUGGCGAAGGCGGCAUCCUGGACCGGCAUUGACGCUGAGGCGCGAAAGCUAGGGGAGCAAACGGG
RNAcentral lists this ribosomal RNA (240 nucleotides) under uncultured bacterium. Its description in RNAcentral is "partial 16S ribosomal RNA". It matches the Rfam family "Bacterial small subunit ribosomal RNA", at positions 537 to 776 of the family's 1533-position model. The record is from RNAcentral.